AAUGCGAAAGGGACAAAAUAUGAGCUUUGGAGUCCCCAAGACCUGGUUUCUAUUUAGACUCUACCAUGUAUUAUUGAUGUGACAAUUUUUCCAGAACAACCUCUCCCAUCCUCACUUUUCUUUUGAGUACAUUGGAGAUAAUUAAACUGAUCAGACAGAGCUAAAGUCAAGAGUAAAGGGUAAUAGCUCAUAGUAAUAGCUCAUAGUAGGUACUUAAAUGUUUGUUCAUUUUGUUUCAUUAUGACUACUACUUUCCUUGACUACGAAUGUGACAGAAGGGACAGAAACCAUAUCAGUAGCCAGUGAUAAAGUGAUUAGAAAAAUGUAUGGGUUUGGAGUAGCUCCUCCUUACAGGACUCUCACAGUAGCCUUUGUCCCACGUGUAGCAAAGUGAAUUGACCAUGCCAUCCUGAACCUGAAAUGCUUAAUUUGAAGUCCUCUGUGUCAAAGAGACUUAAGUUCACAGAGAAACUGCAGCAGGCUAAAGCAGUGGCUCUACUCUGGGAAAUUCAUAGAUAUUUUUGUUGUUCUGUCCACAACCAUGCUCUUAAAAAGGACUGCAUGACAAGGUUCGCCGAUUGCUAUUCGUUAAAGGCCCUUUUUGUGGCCCUCUGUGGGAUUAUAAGGUGGCGCAAACACUGUAUCUUAAUUCAUAAUCUCCCAGCAAAUGUAAAAUGGCUGAAGGUUCACUUUUCCUAGAGAGUUUUAGUUCUUUCCUCUCUUUGGCAGAGAGAAUUGAGCUCACUAUGAGUUCUAAAAUAUACAAUUAUAGGAAGCCAUGUUUUGAAAUGACAGUGGGGAUGAAAAUGGCAUGCGUGACUCCUGUUUGGACAUGAAUGACUAUCGGAAAGGAAGUCAACCUUGAAUGACACUGAGAACCAGGAUAAUGAAGCAUGAAUUGACAGGUGAUGGGCUAGAUUUAAAACAUUUGAAGAGCCUGUAUAAUAAAAUGAGUGAAAUAGGUUGACUCGAUCAAGGGAGAUUAUGGGAAAUUAUGUCAUUUCUAUACUGUUUGUUUCUGUGAUGAAUGAAGAACUUUAUUUCCUUGACUCAGGUUUAAGAUCUUUUCUAUUCAUAAUUUCUCCCAAAUCUACUUUGGAAAAAAAAGAAAUUCAUCUGUAAGGUAUUAUUCUAUUUUGUCUCCUGGUCCAAAUUGUGUAUGCUAUUUUGUGCUACUCAAGAUGAAUAUUGUGGUGAUGAUGGUCUUAUUUUCUUUCCCCAGUAAAAAAAAGAAAAAUAAUUCCAGGUAAUGGUAAGUUUUGAGGCCAUGAGAAAUAGCCAGUACAUGUCAAAAAUAUGUUGGUAAAAAUUACUUAAAAUUUCUUCAGUGGUAAAUGGAUAGGGUAAAAAAAAAGUAUGCCAAUUUGUAUUCAAGUCAUUCUUUACCCUUGCCAACAUUUUCACUAUCAACCAGUAGCAUGUUCUGAUUCAGAACUUGCCGUUGGAGUAGUGUAUGUGUCUUGUCCCAAAUAAGGGUUACUGACUCUUCUGAAAGGAAAAAUUACUUCUAAUUUCCUCAAAGCCUUGCUAUCACUGAGUGAUAAUGAGAACAGCAGAGUGAGGCAGACAGAUCUCAGAGGGGCUGAACUGCUGACAAGGAACUACCUGAGUGGACCAGGGAUAAGGGCUACACUGCCAAUCACUCUUCUCCCAGCAGAGAAUAAUGCCAGAUAACCACGGGGCAUAUGUCAAGCAUCGUUCAAUAGGUCUACCUGUUGAGGUUUCCAGAUUGACUGAUAAAAACAACUUGUCUGCAGGUAGUUUGUCUACAUGAGAAGUGACCCAGUUGCUCUAUUUAAUUGUGUGGAUCCAAUUGAUACUUUAGCACAGAAAAAAAUAGGUUAUCAAGGAGGAGUCAAGUUGGAGGUGAAGUAAGAGGGUCAGUCUUCCCUUCCAUCUCCUUGAAACACAUAAUGUCUUGUAAUCAUAGCUAAACAAGUGUGCAGAUACAUCAGUAGCUUUUCUGAAAAUGGACGUUUUUAAAUUUAUUGAAAGGAGACAUUUUCUAAGAAAUCAUUUUUUUAAUAAAAUAAAGAUUAUUUUCAAAUUAAGUAACUUCUUUAUGUUUUCUUGGUGCAGAGGAUCAGCAGAUAUAAUGGAGAUUUUAGAAUCAGCAAUUAGGUUUAAAAUUUGUCCACUUAAAGCACUUAACUAACUACAGGACCUCAGUUUCUGCUCUGUGUUUUACUGACCUUUCCAGACUCAUUUAAUGCUACAUUUCAGUUAUACUGAAUGUGUUACUGUUUCUGAAUCAAGUUAUGGUCCUCUCAUCCCUCCAGCGUUCACAUGUGUUGUUACCUCUAUCUGGAAUAUUCUUCGGUAAUUUAACUUUAAUCAGCUAUUUCCCAUCCCCACACACAUACACACUCGUGUACCUGAUUUCUCACCAUCCUUCAGGACUUACCUUAAAUGACACCUCCUCCAGGAGUCCUUCUUUGACCCCUACUUGAAAUUAGAUCCCGUGUAUGACCCUACACAUCUUCCAUCAUAAGGCAUCUUAUUGAAUGAUGUGUUUAUGUCUUCCCAACAAGACCAUCAUCUCUGAGAGCAAAGAUCGUGCUGCUCUCACUCAACACACUAUCCUUAGCACCUAUCCCAGCUCCUGGGAACACAGGAGACCCUCAGUGAAAAUUUGUGGGAUGACAUCCUCCAAUGUGAUUCGUUACUUAUUCGUUACUUAUCAGAGUCACAUAUCCAAAGUCUCACCAGUUGUGCUAUAUAACAACAGUCUAACCACAGUAGCCAUUCACAAACAUCUGUUCAAAGAAUGAUUAAACAAGUGAAUGAAUAAAUGAGUAAAGUGUUGAGAAGAACACAAAAGUCUUUCUGUCUAAAGUAUUUCUUCAUAAAAUUUGAAAUCCUGAAUCAUAUUUUUUUGUUGAAUAGCUAUUAAUUCCCCACACAGCAUGGACUAUAAAAUGACAGGAAGCUGAGCAAGUUCCCAUCUGACAGCAGAUCCUUGGGACCCUGGAAAAACAACAACAACAACAAAACAAUGAAGACCCCAGGAAACAAAAGAGUGGAGGAGGAAGGAGGGCAAGACAGAAAAAGACUAAAACCACCUGCCUCUAUUCGUUACAGUACUUCUCAGAGCAACAUUUUUGAGGGCUUCUAUAGCAACGACCUCAAAAACAAAGGAGACAUAUGCAAGUUCAAGAAAAUGAAAUCAGUGUUUAAUUACUAAAUAUUCUACCUCUAAAAUUAAAGAAAAAAAGCUUAAAUAAUUCAGUUUGAUUUGGUCUCAUUAGUCUGAUUUCCUAGUAUUUAGCCUUAAUUAUGUGAUACAUAAGCCCUAAUUAUGUGGUACAUAUACAGUGCACUCUCUAAAGUUAAAGAUCAGAACGGAUACUGACGUAAAUGAUAAAAUAUGUUAAAUUAUUAAUGGUAAUUAAUCUUACAAAAUAGGCAUAAUUAGUUUAAGUACUUUAGAUAUUAUUCUUAAUAGCAUUACAAAUAAUAUGACACAGUUUGAUCAUUUUAAAAGUAAUUUAUUGGGAAGAAAAGCAGUUCAAGCAAUGUUUUUUUACUCAGGAGGGUGAAGGGAUUGCUUGGUGCUGCUAAAAUAUUUAGCUGUCCUUGUUGAAAAGGUGAGCUUGUUUUAACCCAUUAAGUGCUGUGUCCUAAACAAAAUGGGAAUUUAAUUUUAAAGAACAUUUUUUUUCGUGAAUAUAUCAUCCUUACAAAUAACAGUAGCUAUUCCAUUAAGAGUUUUCUAAUAUUCUUUCAUUCAGUGAGUUCUGGGUAUCGUGCCAUGAAUUGUUUAGAAUUGUUCAGUUUGUUUUUGUGUUUUCCCUUUUUAUUGUUGAGUUUUUGUCUUCUGCUGAGGUUAAUUUAAAUUUUUGGUUAUUUAAUUUUGAUGCUAGACCAAAGCCUUCUGUUUUAACUCUUUCUUUCUACCUCUGAAUGAAUCUGCUAUUGUCAUUUAAUGUCUAACAUGGGGUUAAACUCUGAGAAGUUCUACAGGAAUAUACAAGGAAUACAGUUUGCCUUUGAAGCAAAAUUUUGAAAUGGAUGUUUCUUUAUUGAAUGGGAACAUGAAUGGAAUCAGAUAAUUGGUCAUCUCUCCUAACUGGAAUUUAGUGAUGAAGAAUAAGAUGAUAAAUUACACAUCAGAAAUCAUACUACUUGCUCUCUAGACUUUACUACAAUGUUCCGAGUCCAGGUUUAAAAAUAUCUUUACUGUCUACUACUGAGGAAAGCUUAUAUAAUCCAACUGCAGAAACUUUUCUCAGAAUGUAGCCCAAGAGAAUGACCAGAAAUAUGAUUUCAUCCAAUAAAAUUCUGAUGUUAUUAAAUUAACCCGUUAUAUAUGAAUCAGUCUUGAACUUUGACAUUCUAAGAUGCUACAAUGGUUAAAAGUAAGUAAAGAAUGCUAUUGAGCAUCUGUCUCUAAAGUCAUACAGGGAAAGUUUCUAAUAUUUGUUCUAAUGACACCCUUCCACAAUGUUCAAAAUCAAAACAGCAUUCUUCCCAGACACCACACUCACCAUUUAAUGUGUUUUUCAAAGCUACCAUCACCAACAUUUUGAGCAGACAUCUUCCCAGUAUUCAGACUCCCUAAUUAGAUGUAAAGCAGUGUUGAUUUGAUACUAAUUCAAAUUUGGCUCUAUUGAAUAAACACUCGUUAAGGACACAGAUAAAGGUUGGCUCCUGAGUAGGAAGGCUGGCAAAAGUGGGGUCUGGACUUCCCUGGUGGUGCAGUGGUUGAGAAUCCGCCUGCCAAUGCAGGGGACACAGGUUCGAGCCCUAGUCCAGGAAGAUCCCACAUGCCACGGAGCAACUAAACCCAUGCACCACAACUACUGAGCCUGCGCUCUAGAGCUCACGAGCCACAACUACUGAGCCUGCAUGCCACAACUACUGAAGCCUGCAUGCCUAGAGCCUGUGCUCCGCAACAAGAGAAGCAACCACAAUGAGAACACGUGCACCACAACGAAAAGUAGCCCCUGCUUGCCGCAACUCGAGAAAGCCCGCGUGCAGCAACGAAGACCCAAUGCAGCCAAAAAUAAAUAAAUAAAAUUUUAAAAAAAUAAAAAUAAAGUGGGGACUGUCAGGGAAAGGAAAUCUCAACACUGUCACGAUGUUUUACUGAGAGGACUCCAAGGAAUACAGCAGUGAUUUCCAUACUUUUGACAAAUUUAAAUCAACGAUAGUAAACUUUCUUCAAAUUAGAUCUUGCAUAGAAUCUCAUUUGUAAAACAGAUGAAACUGAUAUUUUAGAAGUCAGUGAGAACAAUAAGGGUAUUUCACUGAAAAAAGAAAUAUAAAAUUGGGUGUUACAGAUGACAUUUCAAGAAAAUCCACCCAGAUAAAGUAUAACAUGUUUUAUUUAUUUUUCAAUAGGUGGCCUUGAGUCUUAGACUGCUCUUCAACUGAUUAUCAUAGUGUCACAAAAGAAACUUUCAUCUGAGGAGGAGAGAGAAAGAGAGAAGAGAAGUGAAGAAGAGAGAAAAGAAGAGAAGAAGAGAAAAGGAAAGGGACACUCACUGGCCAGAUCUUGGGCUUAGGAGAAAAUCUAGCUCCAGUUAGGGUUUUUGAAGGAGAUACUGGAACUUCCAAGUGGGAUAUUCAUGAGUGGAGGGACGUAAACUCCAGGUGGCAGGUGUUAAAGUUGACAGGAAGCAGCUGAAAGACACAGCCUUGUGGUGCGAGCCGGGCAGCUGGACACUGUGCAUGGAGAAUCUCGAGCAGUUGUUUGCCAAAUGUAUUUGUAUCAUCUCAUUUGAUCCCAUCAGCAAUACUUGAGGGUCCCUGGUGGCGCAGUGGUGAAGAAUCCGCCUGCCAAUGCAGGGGACAUGGGCUCAAUCCCUAGUCCAGGAAGAUCCCACAUGCCGCGGAGCAGCUAAGCCCGUGCACCUAGAACCCGUGCUCCGCAACAAGAGAAGCCACUGCAAUAAGAAGCACGCGCACCGCAAGAGUAGCCCACGUUCGACGCAACUAGAGAAAGCCCGUGUGCAGCAACGAAGACCCAAUGCAGCCAAAAAAUAAAUAAAUAAAAUAAAUAAACUUAUAAAGAAAAAAAACAAUACUUGGAAGUGAAUGCAUAGGUGAUAAUACCCAUUUUAUAGAUCAAAACAACAGAACUUUUGAGAGGGACUGAGAAUUGCAGCAUUUCACAUGACCAUGAAAUGGCAGAGCCAGGCAUAAAGCAUGGGUUUCCUGUACUGUGUUCAGUAUUAUUCACAUUGACUGAUUGAUUGGGUUAUAUAACCCCGGAGUAGAAUGAGGCAUUUGAGGAUGUGGGUGCAUGUAGUUUAGUCUUUAUUGUUUCCUCUGAAAAAAAAAAAGAAAAACAUCUAGUGGCUUAGAUCAUCAUGUUUCUUCUUUUUUUGGGUUAUAGUGUUAUUCAUGAUCAUGGGUUAGAAUUCUUUUUAUCUUCUCCAGGGGAUUUGAGGCUUAUAAGAAGUUAAAUGAGUCAGACCUAUAUGCAAGAUAUUGGUCUAGGCAUUUGAGACAUAGAGCCUGACAUUAGAAUAAUCAUAAUCUAGUUAAAUUGUAUAAUACAUAUUUGUAUUAUACAUAUUUGUAUAUAUAAUUGUAUAAUACAUAUUUACAUAUUUGAUUUCAUCUAAUCGCUUUAAAAAUAUGUUGAGUUAGGAUUGUUAUUCCUAUUUUAAAUAUGAAGAAAUUGAGGCUCUGAAAGAUUAGUUUAUUUUCCUGAAGGCACAAAGCUGAAACAUGGGAAUGCUGGAAUUCAUGUACAGGUCCAACUGACUAAAACCAGAAGGGGACUGAGAAUGUACACAAUUGAGAUGAGAUGUAGAAGCUGGGAUAAAGAGUCAGAAUUGGAAUGUAAAUGAGGUGAUAUGAAAACACUCUGAUUGGAGGAGGUUCUCAUUAUAGGCGGUAACGUUUGGGUUGAGUUCUUGAAGGGGGAUUUUGCAUCAUAGACUAGGGAAUGAAUGGAGUUUAAGCAAGGGUAGUGUCAAUAAAGCCAUGGAGUCAUGAAAGUUCAUUCUACAUUGAGAGAAAAGUGGAAUGUGAGUUUGGAAAUCCUCAUAACGGAAAAAAUAAUCAAAAUGAUAAAUACAGAGCACAUUUGAGGAGGGAGAGGUUCAAGGUCAUCUAUUUAUCUUGGAUUUCAGAAGGCUAUUAUAAAUGCUGAGGUAAGUGGAGCCACUGCAGAGCUGAACCAUCUGUCUUUGCAUACAUUUCUCCCAAGUACCUAAUGAAAUGUUUCUAAAGCUAAGCUUUAGAUUACACAAGAAGGCUUGGAUAUAUUCAGAAAAAACGUUUACAUUGUUUAUGAGAAUGUGUUUUUCCUUCCUAAGGUUUACAACAUUUUUCUUUUCUACUAUCUUCUUGACUCAUUCAUUGUGAGAGCCACAGUGCUUUUUCAUGAAGAACACAAUCUUUAUUCCAAGUUUUAAAGUCCUAUACAUUAUACCUGUAUCUCGAUUGAACAGAGAAUUGAAUAUAAA
Long non-coding RNA from Orcinus orca (killer whale), 7421 nucleotides. RefSeq lists it as uncharacterized. NCBI's taxonomy places the organism in Eukaryota, Metazoa, Chordata, Mammalia, Artiodactyla, Delphinidae. The transcript has 5 exons. The record is from RefSeq and is a predicted model, not a curated record.